Molecule: ribosomal RNA, 478 nt
Filed under: uncultured bacterium
Lineage: Bacteria
Description: partial 16S ribosomal RNA
Rfam family: Bacterial small subunit ribosomal RNA
Source: RNAcentral
GAUGAACGCUGGCGGCGUGCUUAACACAUGCAAGUCGAACGAGAAGUGAAGACGCAAACCUUCGGGCGGAAGGCUUUAUUUCGAGUGGCGGACGGGUGAGUAACGCGUGGGUAACCUGCCUCAUACAGGGGGAUAACAGUUGGAAACGACUGUUAAUACCGCAUAAGACCACAGCACCGCAUGGUGCGGUGGUAAAAACCCCGGUGGUAUGAGAGGGACCCGCUUUCGAUUAGCCAGUUGGCGGGGUAACGGCCCACCACAGCGACGAUCGAUAGCCGAGAUGAGAGGCUGGCCGGACACAUUGGGGCUGGGACACGGCCGGAACUCCUACGGGAGGCAGCAGUGGGGAACAUUGCACAAUGGGGGAAACCCUGAUGCAGCGACGCCGGGUGAGUGAAGAAGUAUUUCGGUAUGUAAAGCUCUAUCAGCAGGGAAGAAAAUGACGGUACCUGAGCAAGAAGCCCCGGCUAACUACGUG